UCCGGUUGACCUCAGGAUGUUCUACGUGACGCUCUCUAAGAGUCGAGUUGUUUGGGAUUGCAGCUCAAAAUGGGAGGUAAAUUUCUCCUAAGGCUAAAUACAGGCGAGAGACCGAUAGCGAACAAGUACCGUGAGGGAAAGAUGAAAAGAACUUUGAAAAGAGAGUCAAACAGUACGUGAAAUUGUUGAAAGGGAAACGAUUGAAGCCAGUCGUACUGUCGGGAAUUCAACUUCUUAAGUGCUUGUCGUGGGUGACGUUGAGCUUCGCGGCCUUCGUCGCUUUGCGUUAUGGUACUUUUGUUGUGCACUUUUCCGUAUGGUAGGUCAAUAUCGAUUUUGAACGUCAUAAAAUGAUCGGAGGAAUGUGGCUUCGAUCUCGUAUCGGAGUGUUAUAGCCUUUGGUAGAUGUGACGAUUGGGAUCGAGGAUUGCAACGAAUACCCUUUGGGCUAUCUGUCUGACCUCUGAAAGUCGCUCGAGUGUCGAAAGCGUGCUUAUGACAUUCUAGUUGGCGGUCAAAAGGUUAGAACGCGAUUACAUU
This 540-nucleotide ribosomal RNA is filed under the name uncultured Glomus. Its description in RNAcentral is "LSU rRNA". It matches the Rfam family "Eukaryotic large subunit ribosomal RNA", at positions 219 to 635 of the family's 3401-position model. Lineage: Eukaryota; Fungi; Glomeromycota; Glomeromycetes; Glomerales; Glomeraceae. The record is from RNAcentral.